This is a microRNA precursor of Gadus morhua (Atlantic cod), 65 nucleotides long. Ensembl annotates it as gmo-mir-181a-1. Its record names the gene gmo-mir-181a-1. Lineage: Eukaryota; Metazoa; Chordata; Actinopteri; Gadiformes; Gadidae. The record is from Ensembl.
AACAUUCAACGCUGUCGGUGAGUUUGGGAUUAAAUUGGCACAAAACCAUCGACCGUUGAUUGUAC